Molecule: long non-coding RNA, 4785 nt
Filed under: Homo sapiens (human)
Lineage: Eukaryota; Metazoa; Chordata; Mammalia; Primates; Hominidae
Description: HSALNT0269078
Source: RNAcentral
CCCAGGACUGCUUGGGAGUCCGUGGACACCUGGUUAAGGAUUCCUAUGGACAGAUCAAUUAACCCAAGGGCUCCAGGAGAUGCAGAUCAAAGACCGCCACACAAGAAAGAGGCCACACAGAUAAAGAGCCCAGGACCUGCUGUCAGACCUCCCCAGAUUCAGAUUCUUAGGCCUGCCCCUUAUAGGCUGUGUGACCUCGGACAAGUUCCUUAUUUACUCUGAGCCUGAGUGUCCUCGCUCGUAAAAUGGGUCUAACAACGACCACCUCCAAGAAAGAUCACGAUGCUGAAAUGACUCAGAACAGUGCCUGGAGUGGAAGAGCUGCUGGGAAAAUAAUAACUGCUAUUUCUACAUCAGUUAUGCCAGUUCUUUUUGACCUAAGAAACUCCAGCGCUUUUAAUACAAUCAAACUGGGUUAUUGGUGACUUACAGAGGAGACCCUAGGCAGGUAACUAUUGAACCUUGAAAACCGUAACAUGGACACAGAGUAGAGAGCCCAUUUAUCUCAACUGGAUUCUUCUCAGUGGACUUCGAGCUUCUUAUCAGAAAAACACUUUGAUGACAGCGCUUAGUGCUUAACAGCUUAAGAGCAGUUCAAACAUGCGCCAGAGGCUUGCUGAGGAGGCCCGCCCUCCAGAUUCUGCAAAUAGAUACACUGGGGUGUGACAUUCUUAACCCUGUCUUUAAUACAACUGCCACAUCCCAGCGUUCCUUGACAGACUGUGGAGCACACCUAAGCCACCUUGCUUGCCAUAGGGUUUGGCUCCAUGACCUUGAUGUGAGUUCAUAGAUUUGUUUGCAGUUGUGAAAAUUAAAUGAGAGAGCGAGAUUUCAUUGUGUGUGUGGAGUGUGUGUGUGUGUGUUGGGGGAGGGAGGAGAACAAACGAUUUUAAAUUCAGCCUAAAAUUAAAUGCACAUUGGAUGCAUGCCAAACGGACUCCACAACCACCAGACUUUGCAAGUUUCAACGAUUUCCAAGUCCUUCCUUUGUUUUUUUUUCUUUUUUUGAGACGGAGUCUCACUGUGUCGCCAGGCUGGAGUGCAGUGGUGCGAUCUUGGCUCACUGCAAGCUCUGCCUCCCAGGUUCAAGCAAUUCUCCUGCCUCAGCCUCCUGAGUAGCUGGGAUUACAGGCACGCACUACCACGCCCAGCUAAUUUUUGUAUUUUUAGUAGAGAUGGGGUUUCACUAUGUUGGCCAGGAUGGUCGCAAUCUCCUGACCUCAUGAUCCGUCUGCCUUGGCCUCCCAAAGUGCUGGGAUUACAGGCAUGAGCCACUGUGCCCAGCCUGCAAGCCCUUCUUCUGCCGAGUGCUAUGCUAGUUUCUAGAAGAAGAGGGAUGUUACUCAUUCAUCUGCUAUGCAUGGUCCACUAUGUUCCAAGGUGGGAGACGUGUACAGAGGUGAGCACCUCCAGCCUUCAGGCCACUUAUAUUCCCAGGUGUAGGUGAUAGAUAGGCAAAUGCGUGCACUCUGGUUGUUGAAGAUGUAGAGCAAUUGGACUCCUCCUGCACCACUUGUGGUCAUGUAAAAUGGUAUGGCCACUUUGGAGAACAUUCUGGCAGUUCCCUGUUUGGUUAAAUAUAGAGUUACCAUAUCACCCAGCAAUUCCACUCCUAGGUAUUUUACCCAAGAGAAAUGAAAACACAUGUUCACACACAGACUUGCACAUGACUGUUUAUAGCAGCAAUAUUCACAAUAGACAGAAGGUGGAAACAACCCAAAUGUCCAUUACAGGAUGAAUGGAUAAACAAAAUGUAGCAUAUGCAUACAAUUGCUUAUCCAUAAAAAGAAAUGAGGUUCUGACACAUGCUGUAAUAUGGAUGAACCUUGAACAUUACAGUAAGCGAAAGAAGCCAGUCACAGAGACCAUAUAUUUUAUAAUUCCAUUUAUAUGAAAUGCCCAGAAUGGGUCAAUCAUUAGAGACAGAAAGUAGGUUAGUGCUUGUUCAGGGAUGGGAGGACAUGAAGGAAGAGGGUAAUAACGGAAGGGUUUGGGCUUUCUUGAAGUGAUGAAAAUGUUCUAAGGUCAAUGGUGGUGGUGGUUUUACAAUUCUGCGAAUGUACUAAAAACCAUUGGAUUGUACGGUUUAAAUAGAUGAAUGAAAUGAUAUGUGAAUUAUAUAUCCAAAAAUGCUGUUAAAAACAAAACAAGUAUAUCCCGGACCAUCAGAGAGAAAAUAGAGUAGGAGUGUCUAAAUCUUUUUGUGUUGCUGUAAAGGAACACCACAGGAUGGAUAAUUUACAAAGGGAAGAGUUGGGAGGCCAAGGUGGGAGGACCACUUGAACCCAGGGCUUUGAGACCAGCCUGGGUAGCAGAGCGAGACCCUAUCUCUGUAAAAAAUUUAAAAAUUAGCCAGGCGUGGUGGUGCAUGCCUGUGAUUUCAGCUGCUCGGAAGGCCGAGACAGGAGGAUUGCUUGAGCCCAGGAGGCCAAGGGUGCAGUGAGCCAUGAUCAUGCCACUUCACUCCAGCCUCAGUGACAGAGUGAUACCCUGUCUCAAAAAAAGAAAAGAAGCUUAUUGACCUAGGGUUCUGCAGGCUGUACAAGAAGCAUGGCACCAGUAUUUACAUCUGGUGAGGACCUCAGGUUGCUUCCACUCAUGGCGGAAGGGAAAGGGGAGCUGGUGGGUGCAGAGGUCACAUGACACAAGAGAAAGCAAGAGAGAUAGGAAGAGGUGCCAGGCUCUUUUAAGCAACCAGCUGUCAAGGGAACUAACAGAGUGAGAACACACUCACUAUAGCAAGGAUGGCACCAACACACUCAUUGGGGGUCCACCCCCAUGGCCCCAAUGCCUCCUGCUAGGCCCCACCUCCAACACUGGGGAUGAGAUUACAACAUGAGACUUGGAGGGGAGAACUAUCUAAACUGUAUCAAGGAACCUAGGCAUGGGGGCUCACGCCUGUAAUCGCAGCACUUUGGGAGGCCAAGGCAAGCUGAGGUCAGGAGUUCGAGACCAGCCUGGCCAACAUGGUGAAACCCCAUCUCUACUAAAAAUACAAAAAUUGGCUGGGUGUGAUGGAACACACCUGUAGUGCCAGCUGCUCGGGAGGCUGAGGUGGGAGGAUUGCUUGAACCCAGGAGGCAGAGGUUGCAGUGACCCCAGAUUGCACCACUGCACUCCAAUCUGAGGGAUACAGUGAGAUCCCAUCUCACUGUAUUUGUGUGUGUAUUUGACCUAAAAUGAGUUAAUAAGAGUUGGACUUGCUACAAAAGCACCACCAAUGUUUCCAAUUUUUCAGCCACGUUUUUUGUUAUUGUUUUUUGUUUGCUUGAGAUAGGUCUUGCUUUGUCAUCCAGGGUGGAGUGCAAUGGUGCAAUCUCGGCUCACUGCAGCCUUGACCCCCUGGGCUCAAGCAAUCCUCCCACUUCACCCUCCUGAGUAGCCGGGACUACAGGGGCAGGCCACUACACCCUUCAGCCACGUUUCCAAAGUGGGGAGGAUGGUUAGGAUGCCUGGGUUCUGCCACAGUUUGUGAUAAGGUCACUGAUGAGGUGAUCAAUUGAGUCAGGAAGGCCUGUGGGAUCAGUGAUACAGAGGAGGACUGUGGAGUUGAGAGUCCUCAGCUGGAGUUCUGGCUCCAAGAUUGCUGGACCCUGGGCUCACCCCAGCACUUAAGAGCUGGUUGUUAAGUUUUCAGGAAUUUCACAAGCUGGUUGUUAAACACAAUCUUUAAAAAAAUUAAAUUCUACAAACUAAAAUUUAUUUUAUUUUAUGUAUAUGUAUAUAAAAAGAGAGAGGACAGGGCUUCACUCUGCCACCCAGGCUGGUGCGCAAUGGCGCGACCAUGGCUCACUGCCUCCUGAUUCUCCCACCUCAGUCUCCCAAGUAGCUGGGACUACAGGCGCAUGCCACCACACCUGGCUAAUUUUUUGUAUUAUUUGAAGAAAUGAGGUUUCACUAGAUUGCCAGGGCUGGUCUCAAACUCCGGGAGUCAAGCAGUCCUCCCGCCUCAGCCUCCUAAAUUGUUGGGAGUAUAGGCAUGAGCCACUGCACCCGGCCCAAACUUAAAUUUAAAUAAAUGAUAUUAAAACCAAAGGAUGCGGGGCGCGGUGGCUCACGCCUGUAAUCCCAGCACUUUGGGAGACUGAGUGGGGUGGAUCACUUGAGGUCAGGAGUUCGAGACCAGCCUGGCCAACAUGGUAAAACCCCUGUCUCUACUAAAAAAUACAAAAAAUUAGCCGGGCAUGGUGGUAGAAGUCUGUAAUCCCAGCUACUCGGGAGGCUGAGGCAGGAGAAUCGCUUGAACCCGGGAGGCAGAAGUUGCAGUGAGCUGAGAUCACACCAUUGCACUCCAGCCUGGGCAACAAGAGCAAAACUCCAUCUCAAAAAUAAAUAAAAAAAUAAAAUUAAAAAUAAAACCAAAGGAUAUUCCAAGUGACAUAAUCUAGACACAGAAGGACAAAUACUGUACUACUCCGUUUAUAUGAGGUGGAUCUAUUUAAGUGAAGUCUUACAAUAAUCUAAAAUAGGCCAAUUCAUAAAGACAGAAAAUAGAAGAGAAAUUCCUAGGGGCUGGAAGGAGGGAAAAGGGAACAGGCAGUUAGUUUUUAACGAGUUGGUGUUUGGGAUGAUUUAAAAGAAAAUUUCUGAAAGCAGUGGUGAUGUUGAUGCAACAUUGUGACUAUACUUAAUGCCACUGAAUUACACACUAGUUAAAAUGGUAAAUGUCAUGCUUUGUACAUUUUAUCACACACACACACACAAAAAAUUUAGGCCGGGCACGGUGGCUCACACCUGUAAUCCCAGCACUUUGGGAGGCUGAGGCAGGCAGAUCACGAUGUCAGG